Molecule: ribosomal RNA, 253 nt
Filed under: uncultured bacterium
Lineage: Bacteria
Description: partial 16S ribosomal RNA
Rfam family: Bacterial small subunit ribosomal RNA
Source: RNAcentral
UACGGAGGGCGCAAGCGUUGUUCGGAAUCACUGGGCGUAAAGCGCUUGUAGGCGGCUUGGCAAGUCGGGUGUGAAAUCCCGAGGCUCAACCUCGGAACUGCACUCGAAACUGCCUGGCUCGAGUCCCGGAGAGGGUGGCGGAAUUCCCGGUGUAGGGGUGAAAUCCGUAGAUAUCGGGGGGAACACCAGUGGCUAAGGCGGCCACCUGGACGCUGACUGACGCUGAGACGCGAAAGCGUGGGGAGCAAACAGG